AUAAAAGUUUUCUAGGGUUCCGCGGUCGCAAGACUGGUCCGGUCCGAGAGAAAACGCACAGCCAAGCGGCUGUGACACGGAGGGAUAAAAGCCUGGGAGAU
This 101-nucleotide small RNA is filed under the name Paenibacillus macerans. Its description in RNAcentral is "Guanidine-I sequence". It matches the Rfam family "Guanidine-I riboswitch aptamer". From Rfam's summary of the family: This family represents a conserved RNA structure found upstream of the ykkC and yxkD genes in Bacillus subtilis and related genes in other bacteria. Lineage: Bacteria; Bacillati; Bacillota; Bacilli; Caryophanales; Paenibacillaceae. The record is from Rfam by way of RNAcentral.